Molecule: ribosomal RNA, 2903 nt
Filed under: Escherichia coli DEC11B
Lineage: Bacteria; Pseudomonadati; Pseudomonadota; Gammaproteobacteria; Enterobacterales; Enterobacteriaceae
Description: bacterial LSU rRNA
Rfam family: Bacterial large subunit ribosomal RNA
Source: RNAcentral
UUAAGCGACUAAGCGUACACGGUGGAUGCCCUGGCAGUCAGAGGCGAUGAAGGACGUGCUAAUCUGCGAUAAGCGUCGGUAAGGUGAUAUGAACCGUUAUAACCGGCGAUUUCCGAAUGGGGAAACCUAGUGUGAUUCGUCACACUAUCAUUAACUGAAUCCAUAGGUUAAUGAGGCGAACCGGGGGAACUGAAACAUCUAAGUACCCCGAGGAAAAGAAAUCAACCGAGAUUCCCCCAGUAGCGGCGAGCGAACGGGGAGCAGCCCAGAGCCUGAAUCAGUGUGUGUGUUAGUGGAAGCGUCUGGAAAGGCGCGCGAUACAGGGUGACAGCCCCGUACACAAAAAUGCACAUGCUGUGAGCUCGAUGAGUAGGGCGGGACACGUGGUAUCCUGUCUGAAUAUGGGGGGACCAUCCUCCAAGGCUAAAUACUCCUGACUGACCGAUAGUGAACCAGUACCGUGAGGGAAAGGCGAAAAGAACCCCGGCGAGGGGAGUGAAAAAGAACCUGAAACCGUGUACGUACAAGCAGUGGGAGCACAGAGCAAUCUGUGUGACUGCGUACCUUUUGUAUAAUGGGUCAGCGACUUAUAUUCUGUAGCAAGGUUAACCGAAUAGGGGAGCCGAAGGGAAACCGAGUCUUAACUGGGCGUUAAGUUGCAGGGUAUAGACCCGAAACCCGGUGAUCUAGCCAUGGGCAGGUUGAAGGUUGGGUAACACUAACUGGAGGACCGAACCGACUAAUGUUGAAAAAUUAGCGGAUGACUUGUGGCUGGGGGUGAAAGGCCAAUCAAACCGGGAGAUAGCUGGUUCUCCCCGAAAGCUAUUUAGGUAGCGCCUCGUGAAUUCAUCUCCGGGGGUAGAGCACUGUUUCGGCAAGGGGGUCAUCCCGACUUACCAACCCGAUGCAAACUGCGAAUACCGGAGAAUGUUAUCACGGGAGACACACGGCGGGUGCUAACGUCCGUCGUGAAGAGGGAAACAACCCAGACCGCCAGCUAAGGUCCCAAAGUCAUGGUUAAGUGGGAAACGAUGUGGGAAGGCCCAGACAGCCAGGAUGUUGGCUUAGAAGCAGCCAUCAUUUAAAGAAAGCGUAAUAGCUCACUGGUCGAGUCGGCCUGCGCGGAAGAUGUAACGGGGCUAAACCAUGCACCGAAGCUGCGGCAGCGACACUGUGUGUUGUUGGGUAGGGGAGCGUUCUGUAAGCCUGCGAAGGUGUGCUGUGAGGCAUGCUGGAGGUAUCAGAAGUGCGAAUGCUGACAUAAGUAACGAUAAAGCGGGUGAAAAGCCCGCUCGCCGGAAGACCAAGGGUUCCUGUCCAACGUUAAUCGGGGCAGGGUGAGUCGACCCCUAAGGCGAGGCCGAAAGGCGUAGUCGAUGGGAAACAGGUUAAUAUUCCUGUACUUGGUGUUACUGCGAAGGGGGGACGGAGAAGGCUAUGUUGGCCGGGCGACGGUUGUCCCGGUUUAAGCGUGUAGGCUGGUUUUCCAGGCAAAUCCGGAAAAUCAAGGCUGAGGCGUGAUGACGAGGCACUACGGUGCUGAAGCAACAAAUGCCCUGCUUCCAGGAAAAGCCUCUAAGCAUCAGGUAACAUCAAAUCGUACCCCAAACCGACACAGGUGGUCAGGUAGAGAAUACCAAGGCGCUUGAGAGAACUCGGGUGAAGGAACUAGGCAAAAUGGUGCCGUAACUUCGGGAGAAGGCACGCUGAUAUGUAGAUGAAGUCCCUCGCGGAUGGAGCUGAAAUCAGUCGAAGAUACCAGCUGGCUGCAACUGUUUAUUAAAAACACAGCACUGUGCAAACACGAAAGUGGACGUAUACGGUGUGACGCCUGCCCGGUGCCGGAAGGUUAAUUGAUGGGGUCAGCGCAAGCGAAGCUCUUGAUCGAAGCCCCGGUAAACGGCGGCCGUAACUAUAACGGUCCUAAGGUAGCGAAAUUCCUUGUCGGGUAAGUUCCGACCUGCACGAAUGGCGUAAUGAUGGCCAGGCUGUCUCCACCCGAGACUCAGUGAAAUUGAACUCGCUGUGAAGAUGCAGUGUACCCGCGGCAAGACGGAAAGACCCCGUGAACCUUUACUAUAGCUUGACACUGAACAUUGAGCCUUGAUGUGUAGGAUAGGUGGGAGGCUUUGAAGUGUGGACGCCAGUCUGCAUGGAGCCGACCUUGAAAUACCACCCUUUAAUGUUUGAUGUUCUAACGUGGACCCGUGAUCCGGGUUGCGGACAGUGUCUGGUGGGUAGUUUGACUGGGGCGGUCUCCUCCUAAAGAGUAACGGAGGAGCACGAAGGUUGGCUAAUCCUGGUCGGACAUCAGGAGGUUAGUGCAAUGGCAUAAGCCAGCUUGACUGCGAGCGUGACGGCGCGAGCAGGUGCGAAAGCAGGUCAUAGUGAUCCGGUGGUUCUGAAUGGAAGGGCCAUCGCUCAACGGAUAAAAGGUACUCCGGGGAUAACAGGCUGAUACCGCCCAAGAGUUCAUAUCGACGGCGGUGUUUGGCACCUCGAUGUCGGCUCAUCACAUCCUGGGGCUGAAGUAGGUCCCAAGGGUAUGGCUGUUCGCCAUUUAAAGUGGUACGCGAGCUGGGUUUAGAACGUCGUGAGACAGUUCGGUCCCUAUCUGCCGUGGGCGCUGGAGAACUGAGGGGGGCUGCUCCUAGUACGAGAGGACCGGAGUGGACGCAUCACUGGUGUUCGGGUUGUCAUGCCAAUGGCACUGCCCGGUAGCUAAAUGCGGAAGAGAUAAGUGCUGAAAGCAUCUAAGCACGAAACUUGCCCCGAGAUGAGUUCUCCCUGACUCCUUGAGAGUCCUGAAGGAACGUUGAAGACGACGACGUUGAUAGGCCGGGUGUGUAAGCGCAGCGAUGCGUUGAGCUAACCGGUACUAAUGAACCGUGAGGCUUAACCUU